UACAGAGGUCUCGAGCGUUUGUUCGGAUUCAUUGGGCGUAAAGGGUGCGUAGGUGGCGUGGUAAGUCUGGUGUGGAAAUCCCGGGGCUCAACCCCCGGAACUGCACUGGAUACUGCCAUGCUUGAGUACUGGAGAGGAGAUUGGAAUUUACGGUGUAGCAGUGAAAUGCGUAGAUAUCGUAAGGAAGACCAGUGGCGAAGGCGAAUCUCUGGACAGUUACUGACGCUGGAGGUGCGAAAGCGUUGGGGAGCAAACAGG
This 258-nucleotide ribosomal RNA is filed under the name uncultured bacterium. RNAcentral describes it as "partial 16S ribosomal RNA". It matches the Rfam family "Bacterial small subunit ribosomal RNA", at positions 524 to 776 of the family's 1533-position model. The record is from RNAcentral.